RNAcentral lists this microRNA precursor (57 nucleotides) under Branchiostoma lanceolatum (amphioxus). Its description in RNAcentral is "Bla-Mir-12491_pre stem-loop". Lineage: Eukaryota; Metazoa; Chordata; Leptocardii; Amphioxiformes; Branchiostomatidae. The record is from RNAcentral.
AACGGCUCUGCAAGCCGGGGAUGAAACAAAACUAUCUCUUGCUUGAAGAGUCGUACU